GACGGAGGAUGCAAGUGUUAUCCGGAAUCACUGGGCGUAAAGCGUCUGUAGGUGGUUUAAUAAGUCAACUGUUAAAUCUUGAGGCUCAACCUCAAAAUCGCAGUCGAAACUAUUAGGCUAGAGUAUAGUAGGGGUAAAGGGAAUUUCCAGUGGAGCGGUGAAAUGCGUAGAGAUUGGAAAGAACAUCGAUGGCGAAGGCACUUUACUGGGCUAUUACUAACACUCAGAGACGAAAGCUAGGGUAGCAAAUGGG
RNAcentral lists this ribosomal RNA (253 nucleotides) under uncultured bacterium. Its description in RNAcentral is "partial 16S ribosomal RNA". It matches the Rfam family "Bacterial small subunit ribosomal RNA", at positions 524 to 776 of the family's 1533-position model. The record is from RNAcentral.